Solenopsis invicta (red fire ant) is the source of this 625-nucleotide long non-coding RNA. RefSeq lists it as uncharacterized. The transcript is spliced from 2 exons. The record is from RefSeq and is a predicted model, not a curated record. NCBI's taxonomy places the organism in Eukaryota, Metazoa, Arthropoda, Insecta, Hymenoptera, Formicidae.
ACGUGAGAAGGAACCUCAUUUAAGCAGAAGGAUACUGCAUUAAUUAACAAUAGCCUCGUUUCUAGUCACACUUGUCAGCUCUCUUUCCCAUUGCAACGAGAGUGCCGACAACCGCUGAAUCAGAGGAUAGCAACUCAACAACUCAAUGUGAACAAUUUCUCCUAAGUGGCCAAGUAUCGCUAAUGUCACUUGAACCUUCCAACGGACAGCUAAUUAUCUCGACUUUCUUCUUUUAUUCGUGUCACAAAAACGGAUGCCGGCAACAGAUUUGAGAAGAGAAGAACAAGCGCAAAAUUAACAGGGGUCGUGAGAUCUGAAUGGGUGAGUACCUCUACAAAAGCAUAAUGUAGUUACAAGUCAUUACAGGGUGCGUAUUAAAAUUUUGUAAGUUAUUUCCUUGAGAAUUUUAGAAGUUUUAAUCAGAAUUCCAGGUGAAAUUAGAGAAUUUUUUAAUGCAGCUUUAAAAAAAAUUUAUUUUAUUACACAUACUUUUUAAUAUUCUUUAAUCACAAAGAAAAGUCAUCUAAGAUUUGAAUAUUAUCCCUUAACUACUAAUUGGCAGGGUACAAAUGUACUUCAUGCAAUUAAGAAAUUGUAGUCUAAGUUACUGUUAUUUAGAAAAAAA